RNAcentral lists this long non-coding RNA (8091 nucleotides) under Arabidopsis lyrata. RNAcentral describes it as "long non-coding RNA (ALYR_LNC000484)". The stretch from base 5520 to 5626 matches the Rfam family "Plant small nucleolar RNA R71". The record is from RNAcentral. Lineage: Eukaryota; Viridiplantae; Streptophyta; Magnoliopsida; Brassicales; Brassicaceae.
GAUUACAAAUAUGAAGAAAGCACUAAUUGUUCUGCAGAAUAAAACUUAGUCUAAAAAUUAUGAGAAACAACCUAUUUAUAGCAAAUACUAGGAAGCCCUAAAACAUAAAACGACAAAGUUUUAAAGCGGUUUAAGAGAGUACUCGACCCUUGUGAUCAAGUAGGAGCAAUCGAGCAAAGUUGACGUCUUGGUGGAUUCUUGCUCCAGUCAUGAUGUAAUGCUUCAUCCUCUUCUCUUCCUUAUGCUCAAUGUUUGGUUGAGUGCGGAUCUGAGAAGCCUCUGAAGCGUGCAGUCGAGUGCUUGGUCGAGUAGGUUGGUGGAAGGUACUCGACCAUGUUGGUCGAGUAUGUGUUCGAGCAUGAUGUUGAGAUGGUGAUCGAGUGGUCAGUCGACUUGGUGAUCGAGUGGUCAGUCGACUUGGUGAUCGAGUGGUGCUCGACUGCGAACUCGAGUGGUUCUGUGGAGAAUCUGCUGGUGAUGCUCGAUCGCGUAAUCCACAUGGUGAUGAGAAGAUGUGGUCGAGUGAUCAGUCGAGUUGUUGAAGAAGUGGGUACUCGACCGUGCACUCCAUUUGGUGAUGAGAUGACGUGAUCGAGUGUCUUGAGGCGAUGGCUGCUGAGAGUGCUCGACUGACUGCUCGACUGACUACUCAUUAGUAGCUCCAAAUCAUCUGAAAACCACAGAAAUGUGCAACGUGCAUGCAAAGCUAUCCUAAACAUGUAAAGUGGCGACAAGCGAUGAGAAAUGGUAUGAAACAAUGACGAAAUGAUGAUAAAGUGAUGCUAAAUGGAUGCUCAAAACAAGUAAAAUAUAGACAUAUCAACUCCCCCAAACUUAGUCUUUGCUUGCCCUCAAGCAAACAAUUAAGAACAAGCUGGAGGAGAGGUUUGAAAGCGGGGACUCAGAACCAAAACAUGCAGACAAAGCAAAUGAACUCAAUGUCCAAGUUAGUAAUUGUGGAAUGCUUAGAGACCAAACUCUACUUAAAAACUUUAGCCAUAUUCAUCACAAGACAACCGAACAUUUGUUCCAAUCUACACACACCUUCAGAUCAUCAAUUCCCUUUAACAUUGAUUAAGCUCAAACCAUGAAUCAAGCAAAACAUUGUUGAAGAACUCAUUUGGUUUAAAGGACAAGGCUGAGAAACAAAGAUGGUUCCUCUGUAAAUGGUUUCAGACUUUUUCACAAUAACAGGGAACUCUCAUGAAUGUACAGAGCUUUUAGAAUGCUAAAGGUUAGAACCAACCUACGCAUACAAGAACAGACCCCAUCUACCCAAAUAACCAUAAGUAUAUCAAACUCCAUAGAUGGUCCUGUCUCUAAACCCCAAAAAUGAUCCUAAUUCUACCCUUUGCACUCAAGGCAUGUUUCAAUAAACUUUUGGAUCAACCCAUUCUUUCUUUUUGGUUUUGUUCUAAGAAGAGGUUUUUUUUUAGAGUUUCUAGCGGAUUGGGACUUUCUCUAACAACUAAGGCUCUUCUUUUCAUCUCAUGACUUAAGACAUUUCUAGGCUUUUGCCUUUCUUUUUACUUUGCACAGAGCCUAACUUCUUUUAUUUUCAAGCUUCCCAAAUCCUUUACUAGACUAACAAGAUAUUCUUUUCUGUUUCACUUCCAUCUCCUAAGAACAAUAACACUUGUCUUUCUUUCUCAUUUUCUUUCCAAACACAUUCCAAAACCCAAAGUAAAACUCCCACCUAGUCCUAUCUAGCCAAAAAGCGUGGACUAGAACUACAUGGGAUACCAUUCUUGUCGGUUCAUACCUAACACUUUCUACCAAGCUCAAUCCGGAAAUAGGCCUCACACACACACAAAUUUAUUCAGGGCUUGAAAGAAAGGUUAGGUUCAGGGUGGGGGAAACUGUUCCAAUGAUGGGAAUCAGCUACUUGGAUUAGCAAGAGUGGUAGAAGGUGAAACAAAAUCUAAGUAUGUGUAUUGGUAGCCACAAGUUCAACAACAAUGCAAAGACAUGAUAAUUAUAAGUCAAGUUCAGGUUCUAAUAGAUAGGGAAAAGAAUCACAUCAAGCAUGCUUCAAUUAAAACAAGAGAGUCAAGUUGUGAAUUCCAAAUAUGGUGCUGUCUUACUUCAAGUUCUAUCACAAGCAUUAAACAACUAACAACGAGGGCAUUGAAUUCAUUCAGUAAAUGAGCAUGCUUACAAGGUCAUAUCAUCAUCAUCCCCUAUGCAUAUGCAGCAAUCCUAUAUGAAAGCAUACUAAAACAAUCCUAAAAUGACAAUGCAAACUACAUGAACACUCUGUUUUUGUGAAAUCAUUUUCAAAAAAAAAUCAAAUUUUUAGGCUUUUUCAAUGACAUAGAUGCAUGCAGACUCAAGAGUAUGCACAAUGCAGAAAUUUGAAAAUAAGAACAAAGAAAACACAUCAGAUAUUCCCUGAGCCCUCCCCCAACCUUAAAUCACACAGUCCUCUGUGUGACCAUACUUGGAAGAGAGUACUCAAGACAAAUAAAUAAAGAAAGAAGACAUAAAAUGGUAUAAUCAGUGAGAAAUGGAGUUGUUACCUCAACUGAAGAAGGAGUUGAUGUGCUCAUCAAUGCCUGCUUUGUGUAAACUGCCAGGCCAUUGAGGAGUCUUGCUGUUGUGCUUCUGCUCCUUCUCCUUCUUGAUGCUCGACCAUGUCAUCUCAUUACCAUAUGGCUUGUGUUGGUCGAGUAUGAUGUUGAUUUUGAAAAAUUUAGAUCAAAAAUCACAUCAUACUCGACUGCAACUCUUCAUUACCAUGUGGCCUCUUGUGAUAGAGUGACAUGUUGAAAAUCCAAAAAUCUUGGAACCAAAACCCCACUCCAUACUCGAUUACACUGUACCACUGUCAUCCCAUAUGCUUCAUCGAGUAUAACCUCCAAAAUUCAAAAAUCAAGACCACUUCACUUUGCACUUGAUACUCAUUUCCUGAAAACCAAAACACUACCAAACGCAUUAAAAAUAACAAGAAAAUAAAAAUAUGUAUGUGGAUAGACAUGGGACUUCCUCCCAAGUGAGCUUGUUUUAAGUCUCUAAGCUUGACUCCUCACACUCAUUAGGCUUAGGGUGGUUUGCAGAGAGGAAACGAGGUCUCCUCUUCUUCUUCAGUAGAUGCAUCGUCAAACUCAGCAUGCUCUUCUGAUAGGUCUGCAAUUGGGUACUCAGUGGCCAUGUCCUUGAAGAAACCUUCUUUUUGAUCAGGAGGAUGGUCUUCUUCUCUAGACCAUUUCAAUGUGAAUUCACAUCCUUCUUUGCUGACCAGAGUAGUGGCUCCAUCAUUUUGGACGUCCUUGAUAUUGAGUGGCACUUGGUUGGCUUUUCCAUGGAGCUCCUUGAUUUGAUCUUUCAGCUCUUUCACAAUAUCUACUAACUCCCUUAUGGUUUUGUCCUGCCAUUUGGACCUCUCCUUGAGCUCUAACCAGCCAUCUGGCGCGGAGUUGCUAGACUCUAGCAGCUUGUCAAGAUGUUUGAUCGAGCUAGAGUUCUCCAGACUAGUUGAAGGCUUGCUCAAGUGUAUACUCGAGUCGGUUGGUUGAACAUGUGUUGAGCUUGCUUCAUAUGCUGCCUUACCCACUGUUUCUGACUCAAACAAGUCUUUUAAGACCUCUGACCCUGCUACUUCCUUGUGUGAAUCUAAUGACUUACCACAACUCAAGGUUUCAGUGAGAAGAUAUCCUGCUUCACCAUUCUUAGUCAAAGAAGUGUGUUGGUGAUCUUCCUCAGCAACCUCCUCUAGCAGUUCAUCAGCUAGGCGAUCAAUUAUCUUUACUAAGAAGGUUUGUCCUUCAAUUGUUGGCUUUCUCGUGGCGUCAUUGAUGUCAAACUUCAUUUUGAAAUCAUUUCCCAGAUUAAGAUCAAUCUUCCCAUUCUUAACAUCAAUGAUAGCUCCAGCAGUGGCUAAGAAGGGUCUUCCUAAGAUUAAAGGAUCUUUUGGUUCUACAUCCAUUUCUAGCACUAUGAAGUCUGUGGGGAUUUCAACAUUUCCAAUCUUAAUAGGCAAAUCUUCUAAUAACCCAUGCGGUAGUCUGAUAGACUCAUCAACCAGGAUCAAGGAGAUGUUGCAAGGUUUAUACUUGCUGAAACCUAGUCUCUUGGCCACAGAGAGAGGCAUGAGACUUAUAAAAGCACCUAGAUCACAUAGGCAGUUACUGAAGGCCAAAGGACCUAGAGAGCAAGGUAAGGUAAAUGAACCAGGAUCUCCCAAUUUCUUGGGAAUAAUCUUCGUUUGGAUGAUUUCACUGCACUCAUGACUCUCCAUAACCAUCCCUUGCACUUCCUUUAUUCUCUCCAUGAUCAAGUCUUUCAGAAACUUGUGGGAAUUCGGAAUAAGUGCGAGAGCAUCAACAAGAGGUAUCCUCAAUUCAACUUCUCUGAUGUUCUUGGCAAACAUAGCUCUGUACUUAUCUGCCAACGCUUUCUUGUGACGACCAGGAAAUGGAAGUGGGGGCUUGUAAGGAGGAGGAACAAAAACCUUCUUCUUGUUUUUAGCAGCAACUGGUCGAAGAGCAGUGGGUGAUGUUACUGGAAUUGGUGGUCGAGUAACAUGGUCAAGUGGAGGGUCGAGUACUUCUGUUGGCUUGUCAGCUUGAUCUUCAUUGAGACUGAAAUCCUCCCCAACUUGGUCUGCACUGUCCUCAGUGACCGGUGCGGGGCUAGGUCGAGCUUGCAGCUCUUGACCACUGCGAAGGCGAAUGGCAUUAACAUAUUCCUUCGGAUUCUGGAUUGCUUUCCCUGGGAGUUGCUCUGGAGGUUUUGGAGCAGAAGUAGAUGUAGAUUGUCCCUCUAAGUAUCGGACUUUGGAAUUCAAUGCCUCUACUUUGACAUUCAGGUCAUUGUAGCUACAGUCCAGCUUAUUGUGUAAUUCAGAUAUCUUCUUAGUAAUCUCCAUGGAGCCAGAUGCUUGUCCUUGGAGAAGCUGUUGUAGCAUUUGCUUCAUGUCAGAAUCAGGAGCAGCAGGACCUUGGUGUUGCUGAGGUGCAAACCCAGGUGGUGGUUGCUGCUGGUAGUUCCCCUGAAAUUGUUGCUUGGGAGCAAAACCUUGGUUGUAGGGAACAAAAGGUUUAUUCUGACCCUGCUGUUGUUGUGGAGGAUACACUUGAUCCUGUGGAUUAGCAACGUUGGUGCUACGGUAAGAAAGGUUGGGGUUGUUAGUCUUGAAGUUGUUAUACCCUUUGUAGCCACCUUGAUUGUUGAUGUAGCUGACCUCUUCUAACUGGUUCCCCUCCCCAUCUUGGACUUGAUACUGCUCGUCAUCAAGUAGAAAGUGCACAUGCUUCUGCUGGCCAAGGAGAAGCCUAUCCAGUUUCUCAUUAAGAGCUUUCAUCUCUUUACUAUGCUUUGCAUCCGAAUCUCCAAUACCUCUGUUAGAGCGAUCAAAAUCCUCGUUAUAAUUACCAUCGGAUUGAGCUAAGUUCUCAAUUAAUUCCCAGCCUUCUUCAACAUCCUUAUUCAAGAAAUUCCCAUUAGAAGCAGUGUCCAGCAACAUUAUGAUCUUGGGCAAAACUCCCCUGUAGAGUGUGCUUAGUAGAGAAGCCUUCUUGAAACCAUGGUGUGGACACUGUAUAGUGUAGCCUUUGAAUCUCUCCCAGGCUUCACAAAUGGAUUCAGACUGCUUUUGGGUAAAACUGGAGAUUUCAUUCCUAAGCCUUGCAGUUCUUGAAUUUGAGAAGAACUUUGUUAAGAAGGCCUUCUUGCAAUCGUCCCAAGAUGUGAUGGAGCCAGCAGGUAACGUCUUUUCCCAUUGGUGUGCUUUGUCUCCCAGUGAGAAGGGAAACAGGCGCAGCUUGAAACUGUCCUCACUAACACCGUUUAUCUUGGUUAGGCUGCAGAGCCUGUCGAAGUUAUCCAAGUGGUCUAAGGGAUCUUCCAGAGGCAGACCAUGGAACUUGUUUCCCUGAAUCAUCGAGAUGAGACCACUUUUAAUUUCGAAGUUGUUGUUUUGGACAGCAGGAGGCACAAUUCCCUGCCUCUGAUGGUGGUUUCUUGGUGCAUCUCCAACACCAAUGUUAGCAGGCAGAUUGUUGACAUCUUGUUCAUCAGCCAUUCUGAAAGGAUGGUUGUGCUCAAGGUCUACUGUGUCUCUCCUUUCUCUUAGUCCUCUGUCUAAGCGGUCGAUAUUGUCGUUGAAAAGGAGGUUCUGGUUGCCUUUUGAUCUGGUUUGCAUACAGCGGAGGUUGUACUUGGAUCAAGAAGACAACAAGAAAAACACUAAGGGGAUGUUAUUGGUUUGUGAUUUAAAUAGAGUUUUAAUGACUUUAAUUGUUAUGUAGAAUCUGUUGUUAUUUCAUCAAGAUUUUGUUAAACUCUCUUAAAAUUUGGUGUUAUUAGUUUGUGACUUGUAAAAAAUCAUUUAAAAUCCUAAUGAAUAUGGUGUUAUUGGAUUAAGAGUUUUAUAAAGUCAUUAAAAAUUUUGUGUUAUUCAACUAAAACAAAACAAUCUAUGAUUGUUAAUGACUUUAAUUAUUGUGUUAUUGGUUUAUGAUUUUGUACACUUUUCUUUACAAAUUAAAGUAAUGGAAAGUAUGAUUGAAAUAUUGAGAUUGUUUGGGAGACUUUACAAGAUUAUAGAAAACUAAUCUACAAGACUAUUGAAAACUCUUUAACAAUUCUUCUAAAUCUUUCACUUUUUCACUUUCUAUGAUUUUAUUAAAGUCAUCAAAACUCCAUUUCAAUCACAAACCAAUAACACCCCCUAAGUUAGUAGCUGAAGUGAAAAUUGAAAUAGAACUUGAUCUAAGCAAGUCUGAAAUCUCAAAUGUAACAAACAAACACCCAAAUGGCAACGGCGCCAAAUUGAUAGUAGGAUUUUAACUAAGAUCAAUUAUCCUUAAAGUACUAUCAUGUCAUUGUAGUAUUUAAGGUGUCAAUCCAAAUGGGUGUGAUGCUAGCAAUCAAGAUGCAAUCAGAUAUCACAGAGUCAAGCCAAGCAAUAACAGGUUUGAUGUUGUUAACAGUUCUAGUGAUCAUGCAUAAACAGAAAUUCUAACAAUAACAGGCAAUAUACUCGACCAACACAACUUGAAGCCAAGCACUGGGUGUGGUCGAGUGUCAGGUCGAGUAACUUAACAGAAACUGUAAACUGGGUACUCGACUGCACAGUUUGCUACCAAACUACUGGGUGUGGUCGAGUACUUCAAAUGAAACAGGCUAGAAAUGAUAAAACUAAGCAACAAGUAACAAGAUCAAGCAAUCAAAAGCGAUGUAAACAAAGAAAUCAAUUGGAAGAGAAAUUCCCGAGGAUGGGGUAAUCGAGUAGUGAAAUCUCCUUAUUAAUCUAACAGGUGGUUAACAUGCUCAACAAACUAUCCCUAGACAACAAGUUCAAUAACCAAAUCAAAGUGCUACCGCAACAGAGAUCCUCAAGCAAAGCUAGUCCCAGACUCAAUCACCAUUGACGAGAGCUAACUUAACAGGCAUUACGAAACAACAAGUCUAAGCCAAAACGCUCCAUGUAACCAAUACCUUGGUACAGAGCCACGAAUCUCUGGAAUUAGUGGUUCAGACAUUUCAUCGAACACCUUUUAGUUGCGGAAAUGUCUGGGCUCAGAUUCCAGUUGAUCAGAAAGCAAUCAGCAUUAAGAACAACUAAUCCAGAAGGGAUCUACCAAUCAAACUCAACCACCUAUCAGAUUAAAGAUUCUAAGCUACUCUAACUCAUCCUCAAGAACCCUAAUCACUACUCAAAAUUCAUAACCAAGAACACAAACCCAGAAAUACAUAAAAACUUCAUAUUAGCAAGAUCUCAACAAGAUGAACAACUUUGUAGAAGAAAUCAAAAGCAAAUACUCAAUAGAUUAAGAGAAAUCUGGAUUACAAAUAUGAAGAAAGCACUAAUUGUUCUGCAGAAUAAAACUUAGUCUAAAAAUUAUGAGAAACAACCUAUUUAUAGCAAAUACUAGGAAGCCCUAAAACACAAAACGACAAAGUUUUAAAACGGUUUAAGAGAGUACUCGACCCUUGUGAUCGAGUAGGAGCAAUCGAGCAAAGUUGACGUCUUGGUGGAUUCUUGCUCCAGUCAUGAUGUAAUGCUUCAUCCUCUUCUCUUCCUUAUGCUCAAUGUCUGGUUGAGUGCGGAUCUGAGAAGCCUCUGAAGCGUGCAGUCGAGUGCUUGGU